Molecule: long non-coding RNA, 1152 nt
Organism: Brassica napus (rape)
Lineage: Eukaryota; Viridiplantae; Streptophyta; Magnoliopsida; Brassicales; Brassicaceae
Exons: 6
Source: RefSeq, a predicted model, not a curated record
GUUUUUGUCAAAUUUGGGCAUCGGUCCGUUCGUCGCUUCCUGCGAAUAACAUCAUAAAGCGUCACCCCGCUAAACCUAAUUAUCGCCUUCGUUCAUACGAAUCUGAUCUCGGCGGCGAGAAUGACGAUCCAUCGUUCUCCUUCUCCCUGUAACAGAACUUGACUUUAAUGGCAUCAAUGCGUCCGUCGAGAUCUCCGUUAUAAAUAGGUUUUUUUUUUUUCUGAUUUGAAGACCAGGAAGUGUUCAAACGUUAAGCGGGAUGGAUAUUGCGGCUUCAUCUAAUCUCUUUGCAAUCUAAUCGCGUCUUCACACAGCUUCUUCCCCGUUUAUCUCCGCACCAAACAGGAAUUGAGUUUUUAUCCUCGCCAAAUCAUGCCCAGACAAUCAGAGCUUCGGUUCGAACGAUUCCAAUUCUUCACUGGAGACAAACCAACGAAACCCAUGUGCAAAGUCUGGGUCUUUUUAUAUUUAUCAAUAUUAAAUUCACUAUUUUGUGAAAGUCAAAUAUCUUUUUCUUGGCUUCCAUUGAUGCUAAGAACAUUAGUGUAUGUAUUUAAAUGUUACUGGUCACUGUAAGUUUGGGAGCUGAGCUAGCUGUAGUUUAAAAUCUACACUUGUGUAUGCACGUGCUUGAAUGAUGACAUGUGUGUGCUUAUCUCCAGCUUUAAUUACCAAUGCCUACACUUUGGUCUCUGUACAAAACGCAGAUGCUUUAGACAAGAAACCAUGAGUUUGCCGUAACUGCCAGGGCAUUGGUACUGUUCUUUGUGAUAUGUGCGGGGAUACAAGAAAAUGGAAAGCUCCCAACCGAAAACGAGCCAAAGAUAGGUUUGAGUUUACAGAAUGUCCGAACUGUUAAGGUGGAGGGUUUUCCCAGUCUGUUUAGGUACAUGUUUACCAAACAACAAAGGACUCCUUAGAAGGUGGUGCUCGUACAAUGUACAAUGGUUGUCUUCUUCCCAAUUCUUGAGCAGCACAAUGGCAAUAGUUAUGAUUAUAGAAGAGGAAGAAAAGUAAUACAUUGUCGACGCAUGUGAAGCUAUAGGAGAAUGGGAUGCUAGAACAUGUUUUUGUAAUGCUGCUAGAAAUGUGUUGUUAAUUCUUUACAAACCUAAGAGUUUUCUUCUUCCUUAGACAGUCUUGACGACUCAA